Molecule: ribosomal RNA, 716 nt
Filed under: Icelus spiniger (thorny sculpin)
Lineage: Eukaryota; Metazoa; Chordata; Actinopteri; Perciformes; Cottidae
Description: partial 12S ribosomal RNA
Rfam family: Bacterial small subunit ribosomal RNA
Source: RNAcentral
UGCCCUACAGUUCCCCGCCCGGGAGCAAGGAGCUGGUAUCAGGCACACCCCAUUGAGCCCAUGACACCUUGCUUAGCCACACCCUCAAGGGAACUCAGCAGUGAUAAACAUUAAGCCAUAAGUGAAAACUUGACUUAGUUAAAGCUAAGAGGGCCGGUAAAACUCGUGCCAGCCACCGCGGUUAUACGAGAGGCCCAAGUUGACAAACACCGGCGUAAAGAGUGGUUAAGUUAAAACUCACACUAAAGCCAAACGUCUUCAAGGCUGUUAUACGCAACCGAAGACAGGAAGUUCAACCACGAAGGUGGCUUUACCUGAUCUGAACCCACGAAAGCUAAGGAACAAACUGGGAUUAGAUACCCCACUAUGCCUAGCCCUAAACAUUGAUAGUACUAUACACCCACUAUCCGCCCGGGAACUACGAGCAAUAGCUUAAAACCCAAAGGACUUGGCGGUGCUUUAGAUCCACCUAGAGGAGCCUGUUCUAGAACCGAUAACCCCCGUUCAACCUCACCCUUCCUUGUUUAACCCGCCUAUAUACCGCCGUCGUCAGCUUACCCUGUGAGGGACUAAUAGUAAGCAAAACUGGUAUAACCUUAAACGUCAGGUCGAGGUGUAGCGUAUGGAGGGGGAAGAAAUGGGCUACAUUCGCUUCUACAGCGAACACGAAUGAUGUGCUGAAACGUACAUCUGAAGGAGGAUUUAGCAGUAAGCAG